This 939-nucleotide long non-coding RNA is filed under the name Olea europaea subsp. europaea. Lineage: Eukaryota; Viridiplantae; Streptophyta; Magnoliopsida; Lamiales; Oleaceae. The record is from RNAcentral.
CCCCAUUGUCCAUAUGAUUCACAUUUUUCUUCACUCUCAAUACUUCAAUUCUUUAAUUAAACAUUACAAAGCUUUUUAAGUGCUCUUCUGCCGACAAUUUUCCACUCUUUGGCCCUAUAAAAUCUCUCAACCCUUAUCUUUCAGUCUGUACCAAGAAAUCACCUGAGAACUAUCUCUUUCUUCAUUCCAUUCUCCUCAAGUUCGUCUUAAAGCCCUCUUGAUCUUAUCUUUAUUCGGCACGAACGGAUACAAAAAAUCAUCUGAACCUAGCAGUCGACCGAGACUCUUUCAAGCUAACCUAUCCCAACAGCCACUCCUGUCAGUUUUCGACUAACUCAAUGGCGAAAAAAGUUGAAUAUCCGAGUUGGAUUGAGGUUGCACCACCACUUAUUAUUUCCCCAAAAAAGACCUCCAAUUCUCCUACCCUUGAGACAAUUAUAGAAGAGGAUUCUGCAGAGAAUUGUGAAGAUGAUGUGAGUUCAGGAGUGUUGGAACUACUUGAAUUUCUUAGCAGCUUAUAAGUAGCUUUUUCAAUUAAGGGUUCAAUUAAUCAUGUAUUCAACAGGCAGGCUUCAGUAAACAAUCGAAGUGUACGUUUUGUUAAAUCAGUCCUUAUUAACAUGUAUAUGAGUUCGGAUGGAUGUAUUUCAGUGCUUUGACGAUUUUGUAUCAUAAAUUAAGAGGAAAUUUAGUUUUGUUAUUUUAGGCGAUAUAUAGUCAAAGCAGAAACUGGCCGAUAAACUUCUAUAAAAUAAUUUCACGGAUUCUGGAAGAAUCUUUUAUUAAUUUAAUCAGAGAAUGAGGACUUAGCGUUGAGGUUUACUUUUGAUUAACAUAGGGCUUUUGGUGUUGUGGGUUUUUUUUUUUUUUUUUUAAAUUAAAAUAUGUAAAACUUUGGAGUUUUUCCAAUUCUUUCUACCCAAUUUCGAUAUUAAUUUC